This 919-nucleotide ribosomal RNA is filed under the name uncultured euryarchaeote. Its description in RNAcentral is "bacterial SSU rRNA". It matches the Rfam family "Archaeal small subunit ribosomal RNA", at positions 23 to 902 of the family's 1478-position model. Lineage: Archaea; Methanobacteriati; Methanobacteriota. The record is from RNAcentral.
GCUACUGCUAUUGGAAUCCGAUUAAGCCAUGCGAGUCUAAAGGACUUCGGUCCUUGGCAGACGGCUCAGUAACACGUGGAGAACCUGCCCUCAGGAGGGGGAUAACCCCGGGAAACUGGGAAUAAUACCCCAUAGGUCUAGGAUGCUGGAAUGCUUCUAGGCUGAAAGCUCCGGCGCCUGAGGAUGGCUCUGCGGCUUAUCAGGUUGUAGUGAGGGUAACGUCCUCACUAGCCUAUGACGGGUACGGGCCCUGAGAGGGGAAGCCCGGAGAUGGACUCUGAGACACGAGUCCAGGCCCUACGGGGCGCAGCAGGCGCGAAACCUCCGCAAUGCGCGAAAGCGCGACGGGGGGACUCCAAGUGCCUACGCUCAGCGUAGGCUGUUCCCGAGCCUAAAAAGCUCGGGGAGUAAGGGCUGGGUAAGACGGGUGCCAUCUGUAACGGUAGUCAGAGAUUUGACUUGCCGUUGCAAGGCAUAAGCCGCCGCGGUAAUACCCGCAGCCCGAGUGGUGGCCGCUAUUAUUGGGCCUAAAGCGUCCGUAGCCGGCCCGGUAAAUGCCUGGGUAAAUCGUCUGGCCCAACCAGACGAAUUCCGGGUAGACUGCCGGGCUAGGGACCGGAGGAGGGAGAGGGUACUCCAGGGGUAGGGGUGAAAUCCUGUAAUCCCUGGAGGACCACCGGUGGCGAAGGCGCUCUCCUAGGACGGGUCCGACGGUGAGGGACGAAAGCCAGGGGAGCAAACCGGAUUAGAUACCCGGGUAGUCCUGGCCGUAAACGAUGUGGGCUUGGUAUUGGAAAUCCCAUGAGGGUUUCCAGUGCCGUAGGGAAGCCGUUAAGCCCACCGCCUGGGGAGUACGGUCGCAAGGCUGAAACUUAAAGGAAUUGGCGGGGGAGCACUGCAACGGGAGGAGCGUGCGGUU